CUGAGGAGCACGCUGACAUUGCUGAGUCUCAGGUCAACAAGCACAGAGCCAAGAGCCGUGAUGCUGGAAAGGCCAAAGAAGAGUAAAUCUGCUGGAUUCUGCUGUGGUUAUACAAUAUGACUAUGUAGCAGCACCAGUCUUUCAAUUUCUGUUAAAUAAACCUGUAUAUAGCAGCAUCAAACACGUCUGAGUCAUUCAUAUAGAAAACCACGACAGAUACCAACCAAGAUGUAUCUAAGCUAAAGUCAGCUUCUUGACAGGUUGAGCCCUGAAAUCUUUUUAAACAGCUUCAUGUGUUCCAUGGCUAACAUAACAUCUUCAAAUUCUUAAGAUUGUCCUAUACAAAGAUUCAUGGACAAUCACAUGAAAUAGUACUAGGUGUUAUCUGAAACUAAAUCCUUACCUUUAAUGUAAACCUUGUGGAGAUGAAAAAAAUGUCCAUAUUGUUUUUCUCAGAUUUCAACACAUUGUUCACAACCAAUAUAAAUCACAAAUAUAUUUGUAACCCUU
Colossoma macropomum (tambaqui) is the source of this 510-nucleotide long non-coding RNA. RefSeq lists it as uncharacterized. The transcript has 2 exons. The record is from RefSeq and is a predicted model, not a curated record. Lineage: Eukaryota; Metazoa; Chordata; Actinopteri; Characiformes; Serrasalmidae.